This is a small nuclear RNA of Myotis lucifugus (little brown bat), 108 nucleotides long. Lineage: Eukaryota; Metazoa; Chordata; Mammalia; Chiroptera; Vespertilionidae. The record is from Ensembl.
GUGUCAUAGGAAAGAAGAUAAAGCUAACCUCUCAACAAGGAUGGAAAAGGCCUUUGUAGCCCAUAUAGCACAUAUACAGUAAGGCAUUGCUAUCUACUCAUUGUUUCU